Molecule: ribosomal RNA, 512 nt
Filed under: uncultured bacterium
Lineage: Bacteria
Description: bacterial SSU rRNA
Rfam family: Bacterial small subunit ribosomal RNA
Source: RNAcentral
AGAGUUUGAUUCUGGCUCAGGAUGAACGCUGGCGGCGUGCUUAACACAUGCAAGUCGAACGGAGCUUAUAAGAAAGCGGAGCUUGCUCCAAUGGAAUUUAAGCUUAGUGGCGGACGGGUGAGUAACGCGUGGGUAACCUGCCUUGCACAGGGGGACAACAGUUGGAAACGACUGCUAAUACCGCAUAAGCCGGUAGGACCGCAUGGUCUAUCCGGAAAAGAUUUAUCGGUGCAAGAUGGGCCCGCGUUGGAUUAGUUAGUUGGCGGGGUAACGGCCCACCAAGACCGCGAUCCAUAGCCGACCUGAGAGGGUGAUCGGCCACAUUGGGACUGAGACACGGCCCAAACUCCUACGGGAGGCAGCAGUGGGGAAUAUUGCGCAAUGGGGGAAACCCUGACGCAAGCAACGCCGCGUGAGUGAGGAAGUAUUUCGGUAUGUAAAGCUCUAUCAGCAGGGAAGAAGAUGACGGUACCUGCAGAAGAAGUCCCGGCUAACUACGUGCCAGCCGCAGC